CGACCGAGGGCAACAAGGCAGCAAACCUCUUCCCCCUUCCUCGCAUCUCUCUCUCUCAACCGCCUACAGCCCUACAGUACCCCACCCCCACGCCACCAACCCGGACCGAACCUCCCUCUCUAUCUCUCUCUCUGCUCCACCUCCGUCCGACUCCGACCGCAGCCCAACUCCUGCUGACUUCAACAUCCAUCCCCCGCCAUUCGCGCCAGGAUUACUCCUCCCUAGCUCCCUCCCUACUUGUUGCUGAUCCCUCCUCCCCUUCCUAUUCCCCUCCCACCACCACCACCAAUCUAGGCAGCCUCCGCCAAUCAAACAAUAAUGGCGUCGAUCCGCCGGCCGCACUCGCCCGCCAAGCAGCACCUGCUGCGUCACCACCACCCCUUCGCCACGUCCUCCCCGCCCUCCUCGCCGCUCCGCCACUCCUCUACAUCCUCCUCGCCACGCACCCACCACCACCUCGCCGGCGGCUACCCGCACCCCUUCCUCUUCUUCACGCGCCGCCCGCUCCCGCGGUUCGCGGCCUUCUUCCUCCUCGGCUCUUUCCUCGGCCUCCUCCACUUCCUCUCCCACCUCCCCCGCCAGACCCCGCACCUCCGCCCGGCGUCCUCCAGCCCCGCCGUCAUCCCCCGCCACCAGCUCCCCAUCGUCCGCCUCAACAACGACGACGACGACGACAUGAACAACAACAAGCUGCUCGUCGUCGUCACGCCCACGCGCGCGCGCGCCGCGCAGGCGUACUACCUCAGCCGGCUGGGCCACACGCUGCGCCUCGUCGACCCGCCGCUGCUCUGGCUCGUCGUCGAGGCCGGCAACCCCACGCCCGAGGCCGCCGCCGCGCUGCGGGGGACCACCGUCAUGCACCGCUACGUCGGCUGCUGCGACAAGCUCAACGCCUCCUCCUCCGGCGACGCCGACGCGCUCCGCUUCCGCCCGCACCAGAUGAACGCCGCGCUCGAGCUCCUCGAGAACCACCGCCUCGACGCCAUUGUCUAUUUCGCCGACGAGGAGGGCGUCUACUCCCUCGACCUCUUCAAACGUCUGCGCCAAGUCAGGAGGUUCGGCACAUGGCCUGUGCCAGUGAUCUCGGAGGACAGAAAAGAUGGUGUUGGUAUGGUGCUGGAAGGCCCUGUGUGUAAACAGAACCAAGUCGUGGGAUGGCACACAAGCGAGCAUGCCAGCAAGCUCCGUAGAUUUCAUGUCGCUAUGUCGGGUUUCGCAUUCAACAGCACCAUGCUCUGGGACCCCAGACUCCGCUCCCAUUUGGCAUGGAAUUCAAUCCGGCAUUCAGACACAGCGAAACAAGGCUACCAAGCAACCACGUUCGUGGAGCAGCUAGUGGAGGAUGAAAGCCAGAUGGAAGGCAUACCCGCUGACUGCUCCCAAAUAAUGAACUGGCAUGUGCCGGCUGGAUCUGAGAAUCUCGCCUAUCCCAGAGGAUGGCGAGUUGGGACGAAUCUGGAUGUGGUCAUUCCUCUUAAAUAGAAUUCAACAGCUAUGUUCAUCAAAGCAACUGACUCCUUCGACAGGCAUAUACUGUAGAAAUUAAGCCAUGAAGCUUUGGCUUAUAUAGUGCAGAGGAAUCCCAGGUUGACUACAUUGGAGAAGCAGCUCUUCAGAAGGGGAGGAGGCUUUCAGGACGAAAAUUAGUGCAGCAUCAACAAUGAAGCCAGUCAUCUUGCUGCAAAGCCGUGCAUUGUAUAUGUGUUCAUGUUGUGACUCAACCUAUAUUCAUUUGCUGCGAUUCUUCUUGUUCAUGCAAUCGAUUGUAAGCUUCCAGUUUUCGUGUGCCGAGGCAGUCUUGCAUUCCUCAUGAACGUGUAAUGGCUAAUGAGUACACGUAACUCGAGCACGUUUAACGUAGUACAGACCAGGUUUAGAGAAUACUACAAGUGUUACCAUACUACUAGAACGAGAUUACAUGUAUGUUUGAGAAUGCAGUUUUAAGAUAUCAUAGUUUAUAAUUGUA
Zea mays is the source of this 1966-nucleotide RNA transcript. It is a transcript of the gene named putative beta-14-xylosyltransferase IRX9H, with no coding region annotated. The record is from RefSeq and is marked validated. Lineage: Eukaryota; Viridiplantae; Streptophyta; Magnoliopsida; Poales; Poaceae. The transcript has 5 exons.